This 1389-nucleotide long non-coding RNA is filed under the name Homo sapiens (human). Its description in RNAcentral is "HSALNT0359649". The record is from RNAcentral. Lineage: Eukaryota; Metazoa; Chordata; Mammalia; Primates; Hominidae.
CCAAUUAAGGCACUUGAAAAGGGAGUCGGGUGGAAGAUCCCCCGCCCACCAGUAUCCUGGAUUUACCCAGGUCGAGUUCAGAGAGCCUCCCCGGUCCCAACCCCCUCGGGCCCCAUGGGUCAGGGGGCCGCCUGCUGGGAAGUGCUACCUCAGCUAAGCCGCUCAGGUGUCCCGAGACUCCGGGCAAGGGAAGACAGGCGGCGAGACGGAGCCAGAAUAAGGGAUGCGGACGUCUGACCUGUGGAAAACCCAGCAUCUGCAGUGCCCAGCCGCACAGGGAACGUGGGCGGCGUGGUUCCAAGCACAGUGAAGACGCCAGGCUCGGAUCUGUGCUCAGAGCCGGGAUCCCUCCGGGCUGCUUCGUCCUGGCCAGGACUUUCCUUGCCCUGAAGUGAGGCGCCAGGGAAGCUGCAGGGCCCUCCGCCCUCUCUGAACUCCCACGUACUUGGGCCUCUCCCAGCCUUUCUUGGACCUGUGGAAGCAAUUCCUGCAGGACCAGACUCCCCUGUCUCCCCGCGGCCCCCUAGCCCGGACUGUGAGUCUCGAGCGGCUUCCGAGAGGCAGCUCGGGUGUCUUCGCAGAGACAGAUGAGGUGGGCUGGCGAUUCCCUAGCCUCAGAUGGCUCUGCCACCAGCCAGCUCUGUGAUCCUGGCCGAUGGGGUGCCAGGCAUUAGAAACCUUCCCUCCAAUCCUCACCAUGUCUCCAUUUUGCCAAAGAAGAAACUGAGGUUAAGGUCGCGAUGCUCUGGCCAGCAUCACAGGUAAACGAUUUUGGCAGUGCCCGGAGAAAGAUAGAAGUAAGACCUAAAGAGGAACUUUCCGCAUGUUAUGGGAGAGCCCCUGGGGCGAGGAGGCGAGGGCAGCCUUCCCCAGGCCAAGGGAGCAGCCAUCGCUCUUGGAUCUGUUUUUCCUCAAGCGUCUGUCCUGUGGGGCCUAGUCCCCAAGCGGCAGUCCUGGACCUAACGGGAGAAGGGGCUGGGGGAAGAGGGCGCACCCCCAGCCCGGGACCCACAGCAGCCCUAGCCAGUCCCCCACUCUCUCCCUCUGUAGGGGCCUCUCUCUGAGAUCGGGUCCUCCUCCUGCAGGGCAGCAGAGUGGAAGCCAGGGCCUGGGACCCUCUGGCUGGGCAAGGAGGGACUGGAGUCCGGCUCCCGGUGACCCCGUCCCCAGUGCCAGCGGUGGGGUCGCCUGUGGCGGCCCGGACAGGCCACGGGUCCCUCUCCCCAAGUCCCAUUACGUUGUAUUUAUGUUUCAUUUUAUAGUUUUUUUUUCCUCCUCCCUUAUUAUUGUCUCACUCUGGGGGAGGCAAAGGAUAUAAUAUAUUCAUCUUUAUUAUACCAAAUCUGUGUGAAGCAUUUAAUAAAACGCUGUUUCCACACAGCCAGGGAU